Molecule: long non-coding RNA, 1728 nt
Filed under: Zostera marina
Lineage: Eukaryota; Viridiplantae; Streptophyta; Magnoliopsida; Alismatales; Zosteraceae
Description: long non-coding RNA (ZMAR_LNC003778)
Source: RNAcentral
AUCAGGUGUAGAUUUGAAAACAAGCGAUUUUUUUAGAGUUUUCUUAAAUGAAUGUAGAUGAAUGAAUGUGAGAUAAACUGAGACGUAGAGGACUGAAUAUGACAGAAGAUUGUGUAUUAUGUGGUAAAAAACCUGAGACAACAUCUCAUGUGUUUUAUCAAAUGCAGGUUUGUGAGGUGAAUGUUAAAGGAGGGCUUUGAUGUAGCGGGUGGAUUGGUAAAUACACAAGACAUUGGGGAUUUUUAAACCAUAGCUCAUAAAAUUGAAAAAAUCACUCCUGGAUCAAAGUGUUGAGGAAUGGCAUUGGACAAUGCUUGGUUUCAUACUGUUGCACAUAUGAAAGGAGCGAAACCAACGUCACCAUGGAGGAAUCUCAACCUCGCAGGAAAAGAUCAUAAGGGAAUGCAUCAGAUCGACGGAAACCGAUUUCAAUGAAAACAAAUUCAAAAAGUCACACAAGAGGAAUGCGGAAGAAAAAGCAUUGCACCAAUAGUAUACUCUUCAGUUACUGAUCCAUAACAGGGUGGAAGAAGGAAAUUAAAAUUGAUCAACUGUCGGGCAAACCCGUCUACUUAAAUAGAAAGUAAGUAUAACUAUAUUUGUGUGUUCAACUUAUGUAGACCUUAAUUUUUUAAUAUACAAAACAACUUAUUCAAAAAAAAAAAAAAAAAAAAAAAAAAAAAAAAAAAAAGAAGAAAAGAGGACAGCAAGCAUAUUGGGAAAAUAGCUAUCAACGAGGGUGAUGGCUCCCGCUCAUCCAAAUAUAACACCCCCGUUGACUCUAAACAUAAAAAUAGAUCGCCAAUUCAGAUCACUGGAAUCCUUCAGGGUAAGGUUGGAAGGACAAGAGGGAAGGUCCGGCAACGGCUUAAUUGUUAGCGUGGAGUACCCAUUCAAAAAACCAUAAUGUAUGUGUUGUAAAUUAAGGUUAUGAACAUUGGAUAGCACAUUGCCAAGAGCAGUCUGGAGCAAUAAACAAAUCAAGUAGCAGAUGACCAACGGUGAUGAAGAGCGGACGACUCACGUCCAUAGAACUCUCAACACAAAAUCCACACAGAGGUCGAGGCACGAAAAUUCAAAUUCAAAUUCAAUUGUUAGUGGCAAAAAGAAACGAGUACGAAGGAAUCGUAGAAGUAAGACAACCAACGAUCACCAGGUUCAGCAAACGGAUAAGGGGGAGGACAUACCGCAAGUAGAAGAAAUCGUAAUAACGCCAGCUAACAGAGCCUACUGUACCGCCUAGUCCUGCAGUAAAUCAGAACCAGGAGAAGCCUAACCGGGACCAGGACCAGGAGAUCGAACAGCAGGACAUCCCACUCACCUCGCCACAGCAAAGUCAGGCUAGUAACCGUACCCUUAUCGAUCAGUCAGGUUCCGAUCCGAUGACUGAAUUUCCUUGUCAACCUCUGAUUCAGCAAUAAUAUCUUGUAUGAUCUGCCUUGGCUUCUUGGAAAGAGCCUAGAAUGAGGGCUGAGGCAAGUGGAAUCACAAUCUAAUGUUCUUGGCAUAUCGUCAGAAAUAAUCGUCUUUAUAGCUUUCUAAGCUAGUUGUCAAAGGUGACUCGCGUCGUUUGCUCAUAGAUCCUCUAAAAAUCUUAGAUCAGAUUUGAUCGAUUCGAAUUUCUUGUUCUUAGAACUGCCGUCAAAGCACCCUCCCUUUCUUUUGCUUUGAUCCCCUCUAAAAAAUUACUGUUUUACUUUAUCCAAAAAAGUUACCUUUAAAGUAGAA